Non-coding RNA from Paramuricea clavata, 578 nucleotides. The record is from the annotation of a GenBank genome assembly. NCBI's taxonomy places the organism in Eukaryota, Metazoa, Cnidaria, Anthozoa, Malacalcyonacea, Plexauridae.
GCUGUUGUAAUACUGAACCACUAUCGGUGAGAAAAGCAGUUUAGCACUGAAAGAGCUAGCUACCAGUCCCCAUGAAUAUCAGCGAUUUGCAGAAAUAUUGCGUUCCAGUCGUGUAAUGCUAUGUUGGGGUCUGUGUAAUCCUUAAAAUGUAUGAAUGCUUGUCUUAAGUCAUUUUGAAAUUCAUCGACCUUGAGAUUAUUAAAUUGUCUUGUUUCAAUGAUUCUAGGUUUUCCUUUUGGGAUUCCGACUUUUCUGCUAAUAUAUACGAGGUUAUUGGUCGCUUAUGCCAAGAUUGAUAACGCGCAAAGCUAUGGUCUUUAAGUCGCUAGUUUUACAAUUAUCAAGUCUAAUAAUGUUUUAGUUGAUUCUGUUAUUCUUGUUGGUUUAUCUAUUAUUUGUUGUAAUUGAUAUGUAGUUAGUAAUUCAAGAAGCCGUCUUUUAAUGCUACUCUCGUUUUCCUUUGGUAGUAGAUCUAUAUUAAAGUCUCCCGUUAUGACAGUUUCUAUGUUCUCGUUGUCAACGUUUUGGAGAAAGACUUCGAAUCUAUCUCGCCAUUUUGUAUUUGAGUUUGGUGGUCU